AUGCCCCCGCUUCCGCGCCUCUUCGCCUCCGUCAGACACAUCUGCUCCGGCUCCGCCCCCGAGCUCGCCCCGGUACCGACCGCCGUCUCUGACGCCGCCUCCCGCGCGGCAGCCGCCGUGCUCCGCGCCCCGCGCUUCGAGCCCCGCCUCCUGUCGCUCGUCCCACGCCAACUGCUCUUCGAGCCGAGCUGCGUCCGCCGAACCCUCUCCCGUCUCCUCCCCUCCCCUGAGCCCUCGCUCCGUUUUCUCCUCUUCCUCGCCUCUCACUUCCCCGCCCCUGCCCCCGCUGACUCCCCUGCCCCUUCGCCUCACCUCCCCGGGAUCGACGCCUUCCUCCUCAGCCUCCAGCCACAUCUCGCCGCCGAUGCCGCCGCGCUGCUAGCCUCCCACCUCGGCCUCCACUCCUCCCUGCCCGCACUCAACGCGGCAUCCCGUGCCGCUCUCCGGGCCGCGCGCCCCGACCUCGUCUUCCGCCUCUUUUCCACCUUCUCCUCCUCCCCUGCCUUCCCAGGCAACGCGGACACCGUCGCCUGCCUCGUGCGCGCCUGUGCAGCCGACUGCCGCCCGCUCGACGGCCUCCGCCUCCUUCGGGAUGCUGCACGACGUGGCUCCCCUCCCUCGUCUGCUGCUGCCGCCGACCUUGUCACGUCCUUUGUGGCCAUCGGCAACUUCGCAAAGGUGUCUGAGACGCUCCACCUCAUGAUCUCUGCGGGAUGUCCUCCAGCUACGUUUGUCUACCGGCGUGUCAUACAUGGGCUCUUUGCGCAUGGGAUGGGCGGCGAGGCCCUUCGUGUCUUCAGCGAGAUCAAGCUGCGUGGUUAUGCCAUAGAUGUAGUCACUUACAACACAGCGCUCACCGGUUUAUGUAAAAUGGGCCAUAUUGCCGAUGCCCAGCAGAUGUGGGAUGAGAUGGUGGACAAAGGUAUACAGCCUAGUGAGUAUGCAUAUUGCUCUUUUCUCGAUUACUACUGUGAAGCUGGUGAUUUUGGGAUGGCUCUCAAGGUGUAUGAAGAAAUGCUUGACAAGGGAUUCAAGGAGAGCACAGUUAGCUGUAACAUUAUCGCCAAAGGGUUUUGUGUUCAUAGGAGGGUGGACGAAGCAGUUGGGGUGUUCGAGGGAAUGGUUACUAAAGGGAUUGAACAUGAUGUGAUCACUUAUAACACGUUGAUUCAGGGCCUAUGCAAGGUUGGUAGGUUGGCUGAGGCGAUAGGGAUGUAUCAGCGGUUACUCUCAUCUGGUUUGGAGCCAAGUGUGCAGACCUUCACACCACUCAUUGACACCUUGUGCGAGGAAGGACAGGUUGAUGAUGCUGUUGAAUUACUUACCUUGAUGCAGGCUAAGGGCUUGGAACCGUUGGAACGUAGCAAUGAUAGUGUCAUCAAUAGGUUCUGUAAGGUCAGGCGGGCUGAUGAUGGUAUGGCAUGGUUGGCUAGCAUGUUGAAGAACAAUCUGAAACCUCAGGAACAGACGUUCAAUUCUUUGCUGGAGUCGCUGAGGAAAUCCGAGCGAAUGGAUGACGCACUGCUGAUUCUGAAUACAAUGCUUAAAGCUGGAUAUGAAUUAGGCAGUUUGGCUUCUGCUAUACUUGUUGAUAAGUUAUGCACAGGCAAUGUAUCUUAUCCUCAAAAGUUGGAGGAUAUUUUGUUGAGCAGCUAG
RNAcentral lists this ribosomal RNA (1656 nucleotides) under Triticum aestivum (bread wheat). RNAcentral's name for it is "partial small subunit ribosomal RNA". Lineage: Eukaryota; Viridiplantae; Streptophyta; Magnoliopsida; Poales; Poaceae. The record is from RNAcentral.